Molecule: transfer RNA, 71 nt
Filed under: Strigamia maritima
Lineage: Eukaryota; Metazoa; Arthropoda; Chilopoda; Geophilomorpha; Linotaeniidae
Rfam family: tRNA
About the family: Transfer RNA (tRNA) molecules are approximately 80 nucleotides in length.
Source: Rfam by way of RNAcentral
CCCCAGGUAGCUUAAUGGUAAAGCACCUGACCGGCAAUUGGGAAAUCGGGGUUCAAUUCCUGGCCCAGGCU